Molecule: long non-coding RNA, 839 nt
Filed under: Mus pahari (shrew mouse)
Lineage: Eukaryota; Metazoa; Chordata; Mammalia; Rodentia; Muridae
Description: predicted gene 28054 (MGP_PahariEiJ_G0004301.1)
Source: RNAcentral
UGUAGGGUUGAUGCGGGGCUUGGUAUCUUCCCUACCUUCAAUUUUCAAGUGUCUGCUAGGCUAGGGGCUUCCUCUCUCUCAGAAACCUAUGAUUAUCUUCAGUUGACUUGUAAAUUUCUACAAAGAUAUUUUUUGGCAAAAGGAUCAUGUUUUUAUCAUUUUCAUCAUUUUAAAUUUUAGUAUUUAAUAUGAUUGUUCUUAAUUCCUAAUGGCUUCCACUGUUUUCUAUUUAUUUCAUUUAGCAUUUUAAUUAAUAAAAACAACUAUUUAAGUUACUGGGCCUACAAUUCUGCUAUCAGUAAGUUCAGAGUUGAGGUUCUGCAUAGUUUAGUUUUGAGGCUGACUUACUCAGUUCUUGAGCUGUAUUCAUCAUCAGUAAAUAGUGUGUGCGGGGAAACCACUGGGGACACUUCUGCAAAGGGAUCUAAACGACUUAGUAGAAGAAGUCACUUCUUUACUUUCUCACCUCUUUACAUGUCCUGUGUUUGCAGUGUGACUCUUUUUUAAUAUGGUGCCACCAAAUGGACUCAGUGUAUUGAUGAUGUUCCUGCUGCUGUUCCCUGACCAUGGCCACUUCUAAAAGAAAGUGUUUAAUCGAGUUUACAGUUAUAGAAGAAAGCACAGAAUAUGCAUCACCUUUCCAAAAGGUGGCUCUGCCAGAGCCUGACAAAUACAGAGGAGGAAGCUCACAGCCAACCAUUGUACUAUUCUGAUUUUUUAAUACAUGUUCAUGGACAAAUACUCUCAUAAAAACACUCCCUCCCCACUCCAUCCCCACAGAUACUCGUGUACAUUCACCAUACACAUUGAAAGAAUGAAUAAAUAAAUUCACCUCCUGC